GAGGUGGCAAGCGUUGUCCGGAAUUAUUGGGCGUAAAGCGCGCGCAGGCGGUUCUUUAAGUCUGAUGUGAAAGCCCACGGCUCAACCGUGGAGGGUCAUUGGAAACUGGAGAACUUGAGUACAGAAGAGGAAAGCGGAAUUCCACGUGUAGCGGUGAAAUGCGUAGAGAUGUGGAGGAACACCAGUGGCGAAGGCGGCUUUCUGGUCUGUAACUGACGCUGAGGCGCGAAAGCGUGGGGAGCAAACAGGGAUUAGAUACCCUGGUAGUCCACGCCGUAAACGAUGAGUGCUAAGUGUUAGGGGGUUUCCGCCCCCUUAGUGCUGCAGCUAACGCAUUAAGCACUCCGCCUGGGGAGUACGGCCGCAAGGCUG
Molecule: ribosomal RNA, 372 nt
Filed under: uncultured organism
Description: partial 16S ribosomal RNA
Rfam family: Bacterial small subunit ribosomal RNA
Source: RNAcentral